RNAcentral lists this ribosomal RNA (468 nucleotides) under uncultured bacterium. RNAcentral describes it as "partial 16S ribosomal RNA". It matches the Rfam family "Bacterial small subunit ribosomal RNA", at positions 28 to 507 of the family's 1533-position model. The record is from RNAcentral.
GACGAACGCUGGCGGCGUGCUUAACACAUGCAAGUCGAACGGAAAGGCCCUGCUUUUGUGGGGUGCUCGAGUGGCGAACGGGUGAGUAACACGUGAGUAACCUGCCCUUGACUUUGGGAUAACUUCAGGAAACUGGGGCUAAUACCGGAUAGGAGCUCCUGCUGCAUGGUGGGGGUUGGAAAGUUUCGGCGGUUGGGGAUGGACUCGCGGCUUAUCAGCUUGUUGGUGGGGUAGUGGCUUACCAAGGCUUUGACGGGUAGCCGGCCUGAGAGGGUGACCGGCCACAUUGGGACUGAGAUACGGCCCAGACUCCUACGGGAGGCAGCAGUGGGGAAUAUUGCACAAUGGGCGGAAGCCUGAUGCAGAAACGCCGCGUGCGGGAUGACGGCCUUCGGGUGGUAAACCGCUUUCGCCUGUGACGAAGCGUGAGUGACGGUAAUGGGUAAAGAAGCACCGGCUAACUACGUG